UGGGGUGUAGCCAAGCGGUAAGGCAACGGACUUUGACUCCGUCAUUCGUUGGUUCGAAUCCAGCCACCCCAGCCA
RNAcentral lists this transfer RNA (75 nucleotides) under Syntrophomonas erecta. Its description in RNAcentral is "tRNA-Gln". It matches the Rfam family "tRNA". Rfam says of the family: Transfer RNA (tRNA) molecules are approximately 80 nucleotides in length. Their secondary structure includes four short double-helical elements and three loops (D, anti-codon, and T loops). The record is from RNAcentral. RNAcentral also lists the same sequence under 12 other names. Lineage: Bacteria; Bacillati; Bacillota; Clostridia; Eubacteriales; Syntrophomonadaceae.